GAGAAGCCGAGGGAUCAUCCAAGGCUGUGGUUAUGAUUUCCUCUUUCAGAGACAACCAUGCAUAAAGAGGAGUUGCAUCUGAAAUUUUUCAUGUGUGUGAUUCAGUCUCGCCAGUUAGUCAGGACUUCUCAGAGAACAGCUGGGGAAGCUUCAACUUGCUGCAUGCUCAUACAAAAGCCACCACCCAAGACAGAUGCCUUGAAGAGUCUAGAUACUAUGGAUGAUCCAGACACCGUGGAAGGCAUACCUAUUUUUAAAAAUGACCCCCUUUGCUCUGAUGACCCAUUUGGAACUGCUUCUGUGGUUUGAACUCAGCAUUAUCCCAUGGACAAAAUUUUGAUGUUCACCUUCUGCCUUUAAGCACUGAGUCCUCAGUUCCCCAUGUAAGGCGCUUGGAAGUCACACUCCAUGCUAACAGCAAGUAAUAGUAAAAAGACUGAAAAAC
Molecule: long non-coding RNA, 445 nt
Organism: Balaenoptera ricei (Rice's whale)
Lineage: Eukaryota; Metazoa; Chordata; Mammalia; Artiodactyla; Balaenopteridae
Exons: 5
Source: RefSeq, a predicted model, not a curated record